This 882-nucleotide long non-coding RNA is filed under the name Triticum aestivum (bread wheat). Its description in RNAcentral is "long non-coding RNA (TAES_LNC014288)". Lineage: Eukaryota; Viridiplantae; Streptophyta; Magnoliopsida; Poales; Poaceae. The record is from RNAcentral.
GCUCUUUAUUUUUUCCAAAAAUCAUUUCUAGGUACAUAAGUAUCUAUUUAAUCAGAGAAACACCAAAAAAAUUCCAAGAUUCAACCACUAGCUAGCAAUAGUCAUUCCCGCCGUUUUGACCGCAUUUUGAAACGGGCAUAAUUUUUUUUAAAAAAAAUCAAAAAAUUGGGAAACCUUCGCAUUGUGUCAUUAUAUGUGGCCAAGUUCCCAGGAAAAAUAACAAACUUGUAAUACAGCAAUUAUUUUAAAAAAGUGUUCUCAGAAACGAGCUAUCAUGUAUGAAGAUCAAUGGCUUUCAAGCCAAAUGAUCAAUCUUAUGGCGACAUUCAUGGCAUAGUUUGUUCAAAUGAUCUCAUAUUGUGCACAAGGGUGCAUAUUGGAAUGGCAAACAAUGUUGCCUAAGGAAGUUUUCAUUUUCUUUGUACGAAAAAACCAUUUUUCAUUUUUCGAGUGCCCAAAAGGAGGUUUUUUUGUGAAGGUCCUCCCAAAUAAUUGUUGCAAAAUUGGACCAAAUCAUUUUUAUAAAAUACUAGGCCAUAUUUAAUGCAAAAUUGACCAAAUGGUUAGGUGCAAAAAGUUUUGAUCCACCUCUCAUGAAAAAGACAAAUUUCCGCCGAUUCAGUUGGAAGCGGGUCAAAUUUGAACUGCAGCUGCCUCAUAGUUUGCUAUUUAUUUUUUCCAAAAAUCAUUUCUAGGUACAUAAGUAUCUUUUUAAUCAGAGAAACACCAACAAAAUUCCAAGAUUCAACCACUAGCUAGGAAUGGUCAUUCCCGCCGUUUUGACCGCUAUUUGAAACGGGCAUAAAAAAUUCAAAAAAAAUUCAAAAAAUUGGGAAACCUUCGCAUUGUGUCAUCAUAUGUGGCCAAGUUCCUAGGAAAAAU